AAGAGGGGACCAUAAAGAGAUUAAUCGCGCAUGCGUAGUCUUUGUCCUCAACUUCUCUCGAAGAAGGCGCAUGCGUUCACCAAGAUGGCGGAUGAAUUCUCACUCUCCAGUGGGCAAAGCUCUUUCAAAGCUGCGCCAUAUUAAAAAGCACUGAAGAAAUAAAUUAUGGGUAAUGGAGAAGACGCGAGUGCCUUUGACGUUUGCGAACCAUAUUGAAAGACAUUUGGAAAAGUUUUGUUGUCAAAGAAAGGUA
Molecule: long non-coding RNA, 253 nt
Organism: Apis florea (little honeybee)
Lineage: Eukaryota; Metazoa; Arthropoda; Insecta; Hymenoptera; Apidae
Gene: exp
Source: RefSeq, a predicted model, not a curated record